This 72-nucleotide transfer RNA is filed under the name Myotis lucifugus (little brown bat). It matches the Rfam family "tRNA". Rfam says of the family: Transfer RNA (tRNA) molecules are approximately 80 nucleotides in length. Their secondary structure includes four short double-helical elements and three loops (D, anti-codon, and T loops). Lineage: Eukaryota; Metazoa; Chordata; Mammalia; Chiroptera; Vespertilionidae. The record is from Rfam by way of RNAcentral.
GCCAGUGUGGCUCAGUGGUUGAGCAUUGGCCUGCAGACCAAAGGGUCCCAGGUUCGAUUCCAGUCAAGGGCA